Molecule: ribosomal RNA, 461 nt
Filed under: uncultured bacterium
Lineage: Bacteria
Description: bacterial SSU rRNA
Rfam family: Bacterial small subunit ribosomal RNA
Source: RNAcentral
UGCAAGUCGAACGGCAGCACGGGGGCCACCCUGGUGGGGAGUGGCGAACGGGUGAGUAAUACAUCGGAACGUGCCCAGUCGUGGGGGAUAACUACGCGAAAGCGUAGCUAAUACCGCAUACGAUCUACGGAUGAAAGCGGGGGAUCGCAAGACCUCGCGCGAUUGGAGCGGCCGAUGGCAGAUUAGGUAGUUGGUGGGGUAAAGGCUCACCAAGCCGACGAUCUGUAGCUGGUCUGAGAGGACGACCAGCCACACUGGGACUGAGACACGGCCCAGACUCCUACGGGAGGCAGCAGUGGGGAAUUUUGGACAAUGGGCGCAAGCCUGAUCCAGCCAUUCCGCGUGCAGGAUGAAGGCCCUCGGGUUGUAAACUGCUUUUGUACGGAACGAAAAGGCUCUCUCUAAUACAGGGGGCUCAUGACGGUACCGUAAGAAUAAGCACCGGCUAACUACGUGCCAUC